AAUAUUGGACAAUGGGGGCAACCCUGAUCCAGCCAUGCCGCGUGUGUGAAGAAGGUCUUCGGAUUGUAAAGCACUUUAAGUUGGGAGGAAGGGAAGUAAGUUACUACCUUGCUGUUUUGACGUUACCGACAGAAUAAGCACCGGCUCACUUCGUGCCAGCAGCCGCGGUAAUACGAAGGGUGCAAGCGUUAAUCGGAAUUACUGGGCGUAAAGCGGGCGUUGGUGGUUUGUUAAGUUGGAAGUGAAAGCCCUGGGCUCAACCUGGGAACUGCUUUCAAAACUGGCAAGCUAGAGUACGGUAGAGGGUAGUGGAAUUUCCUGUGUAGCGGUGAAAUGCGUAGAUAUAGGAAGGAACACCAGUGGCGAAGGCGACUACCUGGACUGAUACUGACACUGAGGUGCGAAAGCGUGGGGAGCAAAC
Molecule: ribosomal RNA, 421 nt
Filed under: uncultured bacterium
Lineage: Bacteria
Description: partial 16S ribosomal RNA
Rfam family: Bacterial small subunit ribosomal RNA
Source: RNAcentral